RNAcentral lists this ribosomal RNA (300 nucleotides) under uncultured Carnobacterium sp. RNAcentral describes it as "bacterial SSU rRNA". It matches the Rfam family "Bacterial small subunit ribosomal RNA", at positions 496 to 795 of the family's 1533-position model. The record is from RNAcentral. Lineage: Bacteria; Bacillati; Bacillota; Bacilli; Lactobacillales; Carnobacteriaceae.
GCGCGAUGCGAGCCGGGAGCCGCGGGAAGACGGUGGGUGCAAGCGUGGUUCGGAUUGAGUGGGCGUAGAGCGGGUGUAGGUGGCUCUGUAAGUCAGGAGUUAAAGCACCGAGCUUAACUUGGGAAGUGCUUUUGAUACUGCAGAGCUUGAAUGUGGGAGAGGAUCGUGGAAUUCCUGGUGUAGUGGUGAAAUACGUAGAUAUCAGGAGGAACACCGGUGGCGAAGGCGGCGAUCUGGCCCAACAUUGACACUGAGACCCAAAAGCGUGGGGAUCAAACAGGAUUAGAUACCCGGGUAGUC